Molecule: ribosomal RNA, 497 nt
Filed under: uncultured bacterium
Lineage: Bacteria
Description: partial 16S ribosomal RNA
Rfam family: Bacterial small subunit ribosomal RNA
Source: RNAcentral
GAUGAACGCUGGCGGCGUGCCUAAUACAUGCAAGUCGAGCGAACAGACGAGGAGCUUACUCCUCUGACGUUAGCGGCGGACGGGUGAGUAACACGUGGAUAACCUACCUAUAAGACUGGGAUAACUUCGGGAAACCGGAGCUAAUACCGGAUAACAUGUUGAACCGCAUGGUUCAACAGUGAAAGACGGUCUUGCUGUCACUUAUAGAUGGAUCCGCGUCGCAUUAGCUAGUUGGUAAGGUAACGGCUUACCAAGGCAACGAUGCGUAGCCGACCUGAGAGGAUGAUCGGCCACACUGGAACUGAGACACGGUCCAGACUCCUACGGGAGGCAGCAGUAGGGAAUCUUCCGCAAUGGGCGAAAGCCUGACGGAGCAACGCCGCGUGAGUGAAGAAGGUCUUCGGAUCGUAAAACUCUGUUAUUAGGGAAGAACAAAUGUGUAAGUAACUAUGCACGUCUUGACGGUACCUAAUCAGAAAGCCACGGCUAACUACGUG